Non-coding RNA from Coffea arabica (coffee), 978 nucleotides. The record is from RefSeq and is a predicted model, not a curated record. NCBI's taxonomy places the organism in Eukaryota, Viridiplantae, Streptophyta, Magnoliopsida, Gentianales, Rubiaceae.
CAAAAUUCUCUCUUUGAAGACUCUUCACUAUACAGCAAGUGGGUGGCAGAGGUUCAAGAGGAGGAGCAGGAAAAUAAAGGGUGAAGAAGACGAGGCGGCUUUAAUAUCAUAUGCAAGGGGGGUGGUGGCUCAGAUCUCCUUAUCAUCAUCAGAGAAAAGGCUAAGCCCGCCAUGGCUGCAAAAACCACUCUUCCGUGAUUUUCGCCCAGCCAAGAUACGAGCUAGCUCCAAAUCUGACACAAUCUAAGAAAGGAAGAUAUCAUCAAAGCCUCCAAUUACCAGUGGGAUACAGAAUUUAGGAUGGACUGGCCUGUGAAAUCAUGAGAGAUGUCUGACCUUUUUCUCGCAGCAUCAUGCAUCAUGAAGGGUUGUUUGUUUUUAGCAUUGAAAUCAUCGGCAGCAGCGUAAUUGCAGAGAGGGGCAACAACCCGUUCCCAAAAACUCCCAACCUCCCUGCCCCAAAUUACACUGCCUCAAUCGAAGAAGGAUUCUCCCCAUGGUUCAAAGACUCAGCAAGUGGGUGGCAGAGAUUCAAGAGAAGGAGAAGGAAAAAAUAAAAAGGGCAAAGAAGACGAGAAGGCUUUCAUAUCAUAUGCAACGGGUGGUGGUGGUGAAAUUUGGAGAGGAGAGUGAGGUAACCAGAAUGAAAGGCAGAUGGCUAAGGAUGGUCGAAGUUAAGCGCAGGUCCUUCGGUUGCUUUGAUCAGAUAUAUUGCCGAUCUGCUAUUGAAGCUGUACAGAGUAGUAUAAAGGGAUAAUUUCAGAAACCUCCAGAGGGGUUCAGGGUUGUUUGUUUGCAUUGAAAUGAAAUCAUCGGCAGCAGCGUAAUUGCAGAGAGGGGCAACAACCCAUUCCCAAAAACUCCCAACCUCCCUGCCCCAAAUUACACUGGCCUCAAUCCAAGGAUCUUCCCUACUCCCCCAAGGGAUUAGCAAUUUAGGCAUUUAGGGUUCAUUUCAGAAAACCCCCCCUGGGGAAA